CUCUAGUUACUACAGGAGGUGCCCCUCUUGUUAAUUUCCACUAGGAAGGUCUUAACUUGCUGGACGAGCAAUAGACUGUUUUGUGUUUGCUGAAACACUUUUUAGAUCUCAAUUAUAUUCCACAUAAUCUUUGCCUGCAGAAGGAAGAUACGGGUUUACUGUUUUUCUUCAUGGAGAGAAAGAUAACUGCUGAGCCACGGUCUCUCCCCACUAAAAGUCAACUGCUGCUUCCUCCUCUGUUGCCCAAGGGAACAGUUUUGCCAUUGAACCUGCCGACAGCGCAGGACCCAGCUACAUCAGCAUCCGAGCCUGAGAGGACUCCGCCAGAUAAUCCAAAUGGACUGACACAGUAAAUCGCUAUCAAGAGUGAUUUCAAGCAUUCUUCUUUGUCAAAAACCUGGCGCCUACAUUACCCACAACACUAUUUGACUGCCAACAGUUCGGUCGGAGAUUCGGGUGUGUUAUGCUAGUAGCAGCUAAUGUAGCCUGGACCUGCUAGCCUCAAGCAGAGAUGAAGAAUGGGCUACAGAGGUCGGAGAAAUGUGACUGAAUGGUAGCCAGCAGUGACAAGUUGUCUACUGUGGCGCACCCGGGUCUCUUUGACCCGCCGCCCGGGGCAGCACUGGGCCUGAAAGGCAAGAGAAUACAACACAAGACAAAGACAUAGACACCGCACCUAGGUUUGACGCCACCCGGGGCAGCGCUUGGCUGCUGGGCUACCGCCGCCAUAGGAUGAUGCCAAACACCCGGGGUCCCUUUGACCCUUUUGUCAGUGGAUGUGCGCCAAGCAGACCACGCCGACGUUCAGCGAACCAUCAGGUCUGGACAUAGAGAGAAGAGCAGAGAAAAGAGACAGAACAGUGGCCGCUGACCCCUUUUUAUUGACCUGGUGACAUCACUGGUCACAGGUCACACUGAUCAAUGGCAGCUGGAAGGCUGCGUUCAAUGGCUCUCUGGAUUUUGGAAUGAAACGGAGCCCCUUUCAGCAUGUAUUUUGAAUUGACAUCUGCAGCCAGCCAAUCUGCACUGGGCCUUGGUGGGGAACAGCUGCUCGUCGAUGGUUAUGUUGGCACCGGGCUUGUAGCAGGCUGUGCUGUUCUGAACGAUCUUGCUCCAAGUGGCCAAUACCAGGGCAUCCUGCAGACGCACACGUCGGGUCUCUUUUUUUAUCGAACUGCAGGAAUCUCUUCAUCUCCCUGAAGCGAUUUCUGGCCAUGGUUUCCUUGAAUAACGGAAAGCCCCAUUUUUCUGACCAAAGGCUGCCCAACUCCAUGUUUUUUGCACCCUGUUACUGGAUAUACAACAGGGCUAUGAAGACUUUCACUUCAGCCACUGUCAGGUCAUGAGCUGUCACCACGCUGCUGAUGUGCCUCAGCCUCAGUGCAGUCCCUGAUAUGUUUCAGCAUGCCAUCAUCAAACACACACAAGAAGGCCGUGAGCGCAUCUCCGAUGUUUCGCUUCGUGUGUGCUGUGGGGCCAGCACAAUAGAACAAUAGAAUAGCGCGAAGUUCACUGCAUUCAAUAUGAACGUGUAGGGCCGAAAUAGGUCAAAAUUAUCAAAUUUUCUUUGUGUUUUGUGUAAUUUAUAUAAAACCUAUUGUAAAUAAAAAUACAGACACUUUUAGGAAAACUCAGGUACCAGCAAGAUUCUAUUUUUUUAUUCAACAUAUUGCACAUAUAAAUUUCAAAACGGUCAAAAUGACUGUCGUGGCCGUUCUACAUCACCACCUUUUAUAGAAUGAGGCCAGUCGAGAGCAGUGUUGCCAGAUUGUGUGUGUGUUUUUUUUUUUGUUUGUUUUAUUUGAUCAGGUAAAAAUGGUUUUGGGCAGCUUGUGAUACUUUCUGUAUCAUUUGGGUGAUUUUCUCCCAACAAAAAAGUUAAGCUACGUUCCAUUCAAUGACCCUGUACUCUCCUUUGUCAAUGAGAUGACAGGACACUGAGUUCAAUAGGCUCAACAUGCAAAUAAGUGAUAACUAACCAACAAGACCAAAUGUCAUUUUAGUUCAUUACAACCAGCUGAUCAAAUAACUAUUCAUAUUGUUAUUUGGUCACUUAUAUUAAUAAAUCGGGCGCACCCAUAAGCUCACCUGAUAGAGCGGACAUUCUUACCGCAGCUGCUGGGGUUCGAUUCCCGCCUGGGGCCCUUUUCUGCAUGUCAUCCCCUCUAUCUCCCCCCUUCUCUUGUCUCUCUUCAGUUAGUCCCUAUCUAAUAAAGGAAAAAAAUCAUCAUUAACACUAGAACCGCCAGGAGUCCCGAUAUCCCAGCACUUCAGGCAUUUACAGAAUGCUUUAUUGUGUUUGCAUUCCGCCUUCACCAUACAGGUCAUUUUCUCCUGCGCUCUGCACCUGUGAAGGACAUGUCCACGCACGGUGACUCUUUUGAUGCCAUCCACGCCGCACUGUUGUAGUUUUCUUCUAAACACAGUCUGAAUUUGAAUGCAGCAUAUAAUUUUAGAAAAAACUAUUGACUAUUGUAUGGCCUACAUAAUAAUAAAGGUGUUAAAAUCUAUACACAAUCUCUAAAAUCUAUAAUAACCACUUUUGAUAAACAAAUAGGCCUACACUGAGGUCAAAACAGCAUAUAUAUCGUUGGUGACUGACCCUUCAUUUUCACCUGAUGAAUCGUCUUCAUCUGAGGAGUACAGGCCUUCACCCCCUCAAAGAUGAAGAAGAAGAGAAGGCCUAGGCUGUCGUAAUUCACGAUCUAAGGACCCAAAAGCAGAACACAGCGAGGUGGAGAACUGGAUAGUAGUUUUUAACAGUUUUUAUUGUAAAUAAGCACUGGUCGUUGAGCGCUCUUCCAGAGCGGGCGGGUCAGGUGUAGUCCGCUGGAGACAGGAGUGCAGUCUGCCGACACAGUCCGUGGAGGACCGGCUGGGUUCAGAGGGCGGAGGCGUUGAGUGGGGCUUCUGGAUAUGGCUUGUAUAGUGUGGCAGGUAGAACAGCAAAGCAGCUGGCUCAUGUAGCGUGGCAGGCAGAACAGGAAAGCGACGUUGCAGAGAUCAGAGAGCACACGGUGGCUGCAAUCACCAGCAGGGAAUGACUCUGUGGCAGAGACAGACAGGGUUACACAAGAUACGACAACGAGUAACAAUAAACUUAACUGGGUCGAGUACGGAGACAAUCUGGCACUGGUUGUGAGGUAGAGCCAGGUAGAUAUACUGUGGAGACUGAUUGGAUGAUGAACGUCAGGUGUGCCGGUGGUCAGCAGCAGGAGGGAAAACCAGGGCGCCCCACCCAGGCUGGUACACACACACCCACACACACAGCGAUGAACAGAGGACUGACAAGGAACACAGGGAGAGGAGAGCACACUAGAGUACACAAGGAUAGGGAGAGAGAUGUGGCUAAUUAUGACAUAGGCUUCUGGUAACAGAUAGGAUCCUACAGUACAACUUCAAAAUGACAAAGCUCAAAGCUCUAGCUAUGGCAUAAACCAAACAUCACAAUCUAAUGUAACCUAUAAUUACUCUCAAUAGAGCGACCACCCACCUUGCCCAUAUCACCACUGCGGGACACCCCUGCUGUUGGAGCACAAAUGACAGGUUCAUGUGAGCUUGGGCAUGAGACGGGCAAGGACUGGUCGGUUUGGAGAGCUAUCCAGCCAGGACCAUGCACCAGGAGAGUGCAGUCCCAAAACAUUUUAGAUCCUUCAAGUGCAUUCAUGUGCAUGAUGGACAGAGUGAUGUUACAGCACAUCCAUGACCUCACAGUGACAGAGGCGCACCAGCGGAUGGCUGGGAGUUGAGCGUGGCUGAGUUGAAGGCCUUUAUCGCACUGCUCUUAGCCAGGGGAGAUUACAACGCUAAGUAUAAAUAUGUUAGUCUAUUAUUAGGAUGUAACAAACAACACGGUAGGAUGAGUAAUGUACAUACAGUGCAAUUUAUUAGAAAUAAACUCAAGCCAUAUUCUAGUAUAUUUUUAUAAAUUCACUGCGGACUUCACUGAAUACAUGCCGAGAAAACCUGACAAAUUCGGAAUCAAGUUCUGGAUCGCUGCUGAUGUGGAGACGAAAUAUAUCGUGAAUGGACAUCCCUAUCUGGGGAGGGACCCGACCCGUAACACAGAGUCUAGGAGAGAGUGUGGUUCUGAAGUUGAUGGAGCCUUAUUUGGGCAAGGGGAGAAAUGUAACAACAGACAACUUUUUUACAUUGCUCCCAACUGGACCUGGCCGCAAUUAAUGAAUGUGUCCUGUACUGGAGCUGCAUGGAGACAAAUAUCACCAGGCAAGAGUUCAUCUUGGAGCUCUGCAAGCAGUUGCGCAUCACAAACACCAAAUGUGCCGCUGUCCAUGUCGACUGAAGACAAGAAAUUGCGGUGUAAAGCGGAAAUGCAGUGUUUGGAAAGCGAACCAUGAAAGUUUAUGCAAUGUGUAGUGGUAAGUUGUGUGUGUGUGUGUGUGUGUGAGUGAGAGAGGGAGAGUGCGUGCAUGCGUCUUUUCCUGCGGAAGCUCCGGUUCCGUUCGUUUUCUCAGUGUAAACAAAAUAAUCCUUUAUUAUUAAAACGAUGUUUUAAAUUUUAGGUGAUUUUCUUAUUCUACAUUGAUUAAAUUAUUGUAAUAUGUUCAUGUUUUAAUUUAGUGGUUUAAUAAAGCACAAUUCUAAAAUGAAUAAACUUCAUAAACUGAAUUUUAAAAAGUUGUUUUGUCAAGUCUUACAUAUAUACUAUACAUAUAACUUCUAGAAAUGACCUGUUUGCGAUUUCUGACGUUGUUGCAUUAGGGGGUAAAAAUGACCCCAUGGUGUUCUAUCUAGGAGGUAUUAGAAUGUUGGCAG
Molecule: long non-coding RNA, 4776 nt
Organism: Siniperca chuatsi (mandarin fish)
Lineage: Eukaryota; Metazoa; Chordata; Actinopteri; Centrarchiformes; Sinipercidae
Exons: 5
Source: RefSeq, a predicted model, not a curated record